UACGUAGGGGGCAAGCGUUGUCCGGAAUCAUUGGGCGUAAAGCGCGCGUAGGCGGCCCGGUAAGUCCGUUGUAAAAGUCAAAGGCUCAACCUUUGAAAGCCGAUGGAUACUGCCGGGCUAGAAUCCGGAAGAGGCGAGUGGAAUUCCUGGUGUAGCGGUGGAAUGCGCAGAUAUCAGGAGGAACACCAACAGCGAAGGCAGCUCGCUGGGACGGUAUUGACGCUAAGGCGCGAAAGCCAGGGGAGCAAACGGGG
This 254-nucleotide ribosomal RNA is filed under the name uncultured bacterium. Its description in RNAcentral is "partial 16S ribosomal RNA". It matches the Rfam family "Bacterial small subunit ribosomal RNA", at positions 524 to 777 of the family's 1533-position model. The record is from RNAcentral.